UCAAGCGCUUUUUUAUUUCUGAUUGUUUUAAAAUAAAUUGAUUCACACUGUUCUUGGUAAGAAUCAAUUUGACUUCUAACGAAAAAAGUCAUCAUCAGAGAAAUACGCAAACGAAUUCAUUUUCAUCAUCGUUUUGUUUCCUUGAAUCAAACAAAAUGAAACUAUACUACUGUCUUUUGAUAUUAAUGACUAUUGCUAUGGUGCACGGAGAGGAACCUG
This is a long non-coding RNA of Trichoplusia ni (cabbage looper), 219 nucleotides long. RefSeq lists it as uncharacterized. Lineage: Eukaryota; Metazoa; Arthropoda; Insecta; Lepidoptera; Noctuidae. The transcript is spliced from 3 exons. The record is from RefSeq and is a predicted model, not a curated record.